This 468-nucleotide long non-coding RNA is filed under the name Helianthus annuus (common sunflower). RNAcentral's name for it is "hypothetical non coding rna". The record is from RNAcentral. Lineage: Eukaryota; Viridiplantae; Streptophyta; Magnoliopsida; Asterales; Asteraceae.
GAUCGUAAUUCCCCUUCAUUGGUCGCAUUAGGGUUUGGCCAUGGCUCGUGGUCCCGGCUCAAGAACCACUACAGGAUUAAUGGGUACCUAAUGAAUCUGAAUCUGAAUAUGAGCAUGUAAGAACAUCAUCAUAAUCAUUGGUGAAAACUUUUAUUAUUGUUAUAUAUAUGUCUCUUGUUAGGGUAAUUAGCCUAUGGAUUAUUAAUUUUCCAACACAUAUAUGUGUUCUGUCAUUAUGGGACAACAAAGUGCUUUGCGAUUAACUUAUCAAAUUCUGAACAUGUAUAUGUAUAUAGUGUCCUGACCUGCAAUUCCACUUGGUGGUGUAUAUGAGUUAAGAGGCAGAUGACAUCAUGUCAUGAAUGAUCCUAAAUGGCCCAAUGACAACCUUGAAGCUGAGUAUAGAAUUUUUUUGAGUUGUCGCUUUUCGUUGCCGACUGGCUGGAAAUAGUAUGUUCCUUUCUUUUU